UAAUGUGUGGGAAAGUGCCUGGUGGAGGGGGAUAAUAACUGCAAACGGGGCUAAUACCGCAGAACGUCACAAGACCUAUAAGGGGGACCUUCGGGCCUCUUGCCCUCAAAUGUGCCCCGACGGCAUUAGCUAGUAGGUGGGGAAAUGGCUCACCCAGGCGACGAUCCCUAGCUGGUUUGAUAGGAUGACCAGCCCCACGGGGACUGAGACACGGUCCAGACUCCUACGGGAGGCAGCAGUGGGGAAUAUUGCUUCUGGGCUUUGCCUGAUGCAGCCAUGCCGCGUGUAUGAAGAAACCUUCAGGUUGUAAAGGCUUUGAACGGGGAGGAAGGUGAUACAGUUAAUAACCGUGUCAAUUGAGGUUACCCGAUGAAUAAGCCCCGGGUAACUCCGUGCCCGCAGGCGC
RNAcentral lists this ribosomal RNA (406 nucleotides) under Enterobacter hormaechei. RNAcentral's name for it is "bacterial SSU rRNA". It matches the Rfam family "Bacterial small subunit ribosomal RNA", at positions 111 to 518 of the family's 1533-position model. Lineage: Bacteria; Pseudomonadati; Pseudomonadota; Gammaproteobacteria; Enterobacterales; Enterobacteriaceae. The record is from RNAcentral.